Long non-coding RNA from Marmota monax (woodchuck), 1753 nucleotides. RefSeq lists it as uncharacterized. The transcript has 3 exons. Lineage: Eukaryota; Metazoa; Chordata; Mammalia; Rodentia; Sciuridae. The record is from RefSeq and is a predicted model, not a curated record.
UAGUGGGAGGUCUUUGGUCAUUGGAAACACACUCCCUCAGGGAAUUGUUGGAUCUAGUUUUUUCCUUCUCUCUUUUGUUCCUCGCCAUGAAGCAAAUGGACUUCUUCCACUCCACAGGACCUCCAUGAUGUAUUACCUCAUCACAGGCCCAAUGCCAAUGGACCAACUGACCACAGACAGAAACCUCCAAAACUGAAUGACUCACUCUUAAUUGCAGAGAGAUCUGGGAACCACCGUCAAAAUAUGGCAUUAGCUAUAAGCAAGACUGAUGAACAGGAUCCUUAGUGUUGAGCUGGUCCUCUGCUACCUCCGCCUGUCUUUGAUCCCAGAAUCACCAGUCUUAACUUUCACCCCUCUCUCCAAGAGAUGUUCUCCCGGACAGAGUCAAAAUAAAAGGAUGUUUCAAGGUUAAAGCAUUUGUCCUUCUCAGUCAGCAUCCAGAUAAAGUAGAUUCCUACCCCAUACUAGUUCUCUCAGGAAGCUUCUGCUAUUGUUUCAUCUCUAUUCACGAGAACUUGAAGAAACAACUUCUAGAAGGAAGAUACCUUUCUUAGUGCUGCCUUCUUUCAGGCUCAAAGACUCAUUGGAAUGUAGCACAGAAUAAAUAACAUUUCUAAUACUGCAUCUGCGAGUGAGGGGAGGAAAAAGGGUUUUAUUUCAACAUGAAUUGUCAUGGAAGGAAAUGAAGCUUGGCAAAAACGUAUCUGCUAUGACAUUAUGACAAAGAAAAAAUAAGAAUACUAUUUUCCCAGGCUUUAUCAUGAUAAUUCUUCCACGAAUGUUAUUAUACUAAGAUCCCUGCAGAAAUGGCAUAAUUGGCCAAUAUAUUUGAAGUGUAGGUGGAAUAAUUUUUAUAGAAAUUAUUAUGGAUAAUGCUGUGAAAUAAUUUAGUUGCUGCCUUUCUUCUUUUAUUUCCUUCUUUCAAUGUGUCUCAGUUCAUGGCGAACUCUUUAAACCCUGUUCAACGGGGGAAAAUGAAUUUAAUAUGACUGGAAGUUUAGAAAUGAAAUAUACAAGAAAUGAGCAUUGAUUCCUCCAGGCAUGUAUUCUAUUAGUGUUUUUAUGGGAGUAAUAAUUAAAGUUUUUAAAAAACUUUAACAUUACUGCAUUUGAUCACCAUUUGCAUAUUUGGAAUGGUGAAUACAUUUGGAUAUUGCAAGACAUGUCUUAGAAACAUUGUUUGUGAAGGAUUAUUAUAUUAGAUUUCUAAUAGAAAACAAAAAUACUAUUAGGAUAACAAUCACGUCUUUUGGCAUUUGGUACUAAUAAUUUUGUGGUUUCAAUAGUUAAAUAAUACUGAUUUAAAAUACUGUAAAAAUGAAAUUCAUUUAUGCUUAUUAAUUUGGAGAAUAUCUACAAUAUACUCUUAAAAAACUUUUAAGAACAAAGGUCAAGUCACUGGAUAUGGUACAAUGGAAUUUUUGUAAAAGUUGCAUACACAUGCAUCUCCAGAGCUAAAUAAAUGUAUUUAUGAACAAGAUGUAUUUUCAUGUGCCUGGGUGAAAUGUCUUAAUGCAUUCCAGUUGGGUGUAUGAUUAAUGCUUCAAAUACUCCUUUUGGUUUUGUUACCAUUGCAUGUGAAACAUUUGCAAUUUUAAAAAAAGUGAUAAAGUAAUUAUAAACCACUACAAAAAAGACUAUAAAUAUAAAAGAGAGAAGUGGUGGAAAGAUCAAGUUCUCCCUGCUGUGUUUGAAGAGGUAUACAUGUUUUCUUUAUUUCUCAAAUGACAUUAUUAAAAUCAUUAUGGAUAAU